Molecule: transfer RNA, 65 nt
Filed under: Vargula hilgendorfii (sea firefly)
Lineage: Eukaryota; Metazoa; Arthropoda; Ostracoda; Myodocopida; Cypridinidae
Description: tRNA-Tyr
Rfam family: tRNA
About the family: Transfer RNA (tRNA) molecules are approximately 80 nucleotides in length. Their secondary structure includes four short double-helical elements and three loops (D, anti-codon, and T loops).
Source: RNAcentral
GAAGAAGUGGCCGAAGUGGAGGCGGUAGAUUGUAAAUCUAUUUAUGAUUAUAAAAUCCUUCUUUA